AUUGAACGCUGGCGGCAGGCCUAACACAUGCGAGUCGAGCGGAUGAAGGGAGCUUGCUCCUGGAUUCAGCGGCGGACGGGUGAGUAAUGCCUAGGAAUUUGCCUGGUAGUGGGGGAUAACGUCCGGAAACGGGCGCUAAUACCGCAUACGUCCUGAGGGAGAAAGUGGGGGAUCUUCGGACCUCACGCUAUCAGAUGAGCCUAGGUCGGAUUAGCUAGUUGGUGGGGUAAAGGCCUACCAAGGCGACGAUCCGUAACUGGUCUGAGAGGAUGAUCAGUCACACUGGAACUGAGACACGGUCCAGACUCCUACGGGAGGCAGCAGUGGGGAAUAUUGGACAAUGGGCGAAAGCCUGAUCCAGCCAUGCCGCGUGUGUGAAGAAGGUCUUCGGAUUGUAAAGCACUUUAAGUUGGGAGGAAGGGCAGUAAGUUAAUACCUUGCUGUUUUGACGUUACCAACAGAAUAAGCACCGGCUAACUUCGUG
RNAcentral lists this ribosomal RNA (484 nucleotides) under uncultured bacterium. RNAcentral describes it as "partial 16S ribosomal RNA". It matches the Rfam family "Bacterial small subunit ribosomal RNA", at positions 30 to 507 of the family's 1533-position model. The record is from RNAcentral.